RNAcentral lists this ribosomal RNA (120 nucleotides) under Enterobacter chengduensis. Its description in RNAcentral is "partial 23S ribosomal RNA". The stretch from base 1 to 102 matches the Rfam family "Bacterial large subunit ribosomal RNA", at positions 2824 to 2925 of the family's 2925-position model. Lineage: Bacteria; Pseudomonadati; Pseudomonadota; Gammaproteobacteria; Enterobacterales; Enterobacteriaceae. The record is from RNAcentral.
UUCCUGAAGGAACGUUGAAGACGACGACGUUGAUAGGUCGGGUGUGUAAGCGCAGCGAUGCGUUGAGCUAACCGAUACUAAUGAACCGUGAGGCUUAACCUUACAACGCCGAAGGUGUUU